RNAcentral lists this long non-coding RNA (825 nucleotides) under Chinchilla lanigera (long-tailed chinchilla). Its description in RNAcentral is "lncRNA (ENSCLAG00000027274.1)". Lineage: Eukaryota; Metazoa; Chordata; Mammalia; Rodentia; Chinchillidae. The record is from RNAcentral.
GUUUUCGGGGACGAAGAGGGUGUAGGAGGAUUGGGUGAAGGUCGGGGCGUUGUCGUUGACGUCGGAGACCAGCACAGUGAUGUUGUGCUGGGUUUUGAGCCUUGGUGUCCCCAGGUCGGUGACGGUGAUGGUGAUGUUGUACUCGGCCCUGGUCUCUCUGUCUAGUGGUCCUUCUGUCACCAGGGUAUAGAAAUUCAUAAAUGUUGGUUUCAGAAUAAAGGGCAGAUUGUCUGGAAUAGAGCAAAUCAUCUUCCCAUUGUCACCAGAAUCUCUGUCUCCUACUCGGAAGAUGGACACGACCGUCUCAGGAGCAUUUUCUGGAAUGGAGCUGCUGAGUGAAGUUAUGGAAUGUGAGAACUUCACAAAGAUGGAAAAUUUUAAGAUAUUCUGUACCACAUGGUCCAAAAUUCAUAAUUUUUCAAAGUAGGUUUUAAAAAUUAUAAUUCUGUAAAAUAUAUCUCGUUUUGUAUUGUCUUUUAGAGUGUGAAGCUACAUUAAAUUUAGCAAUAAUGCCAAAUAAUAUUAGAACCUAUAUUAGAAGCCAAUUCUAAUAACUGGAAAGAAAAUAAAAAAUAGUUUAGAGAUAAAGAUACUAAAUCCCAGAUGGUGAUAGGACUUCUAUUGCUAUUUUCAGGAUAAUAUCAUGACAAAAAUUAGGUAUGUAAAAAUGUCAUGGAUAAAAACAUAUGAUAAAAUCUUAAGCUUGGUUCAUUUAACUAGAUAGGUAUAAUCUAUAUUUUAUAAGAGUUUGCCUGUUACCACACUCACCCUUUGUUUACCAAGUACCAUAUUCCUGGACCAGCUUGCUUUGAGUGCAAAUAUGAG